Brugia malayi is the source of this 79-nucleotide non-coding RNA. NCBI's taxonomy places the organism in Eukaryota, Metazoa, Nematoda, Chromadorea, Rhabditida, Onchocercidae. The record is from Rfam.
UGCGUGUCUAAGCUUUGACCAGGGCCUUGUCCAAGACCCGGCGAACAAUUUUUGGCUGCCUUCCCAGGAGGGAGGGCAA